UACGAAGGGGACUAGCGUUGUUCGGAAUUACUGGGCGUAAACCGCGCGUAGGCGGAUCGCUAAGUCAGGGGUGAAAUCCCAGGGCUCAACCCUGGAACUGCCUUUGAUACUGACGAUCUGGAGAUCGGGAGAGGUUGGUGGAAUUCCGAGUGUAGAGGUGAAAUUCGUAGAUAUUCGGAGGAACACCAGAAGCGAAGGCGGCCAACUGGCACGAUACUGACGGUGAGGCGCGAAAGCGUGGGGAGCAAACAGG
Molecule: ribosomal RNA, 253 nt
Filed under: uncultured bacterium
Lineage: Bacteria
Description: partial 16S ribosomal RNA
Rfam family: Bacterial small subunit ribosomal RNA
Source: RNAcentral